This 729-nucleotide non-coding RNA is filed under the name Plectoderini sp. SX-2018. Lineage: Eukaryota; Metazoa; Arthropoda; Insecta; Hemiptera; Achilidae. The record is from RNAcentral.
UAAAAGUUUGAUUUUUGCUUUAUUUUUAUUUACUUUAUUUUAGUGCAUGUAAAUUUUACUAAGUUUUAUUGUUCUAAAUGAUUAAUAAAUUUGUUUUCAGUAUUUAAGUUUUAUUUUCUUAUAAGUUAAGUUGAGAAAUUAAAGUUAAAAUAGAAUAAUGUUGUGCCAGCAUUCGCGGUUAUACAUCAUAUUUUAGGUAAAAGUUUUGGUGUUCAGUUUUUUUUUUAUAUUUUGUAUUUAGGUGAAAUUUGUACAUUUUAUAUUUUUUAUUUCUGACUAGGCUGGGCUGUAAACCAGGAUUAGAUACCCUGUUAUUCUUGGAUAAUUAAAUUUACUAGGGGAGUAAAUUUUAUUUUAAAUUCAAUGGAUCUGGCGGUUUUUUAAUCUUUUUAGAGGAACCUGUAAUUUAAAUGAUAGUCCACGAUUUAUUUUACCUUAAUUUUCUUGUAUAUCUCUGUCGUUGAAUGUAUUGAAAGUUAAUUUUCUUUUUUUUUUAAAAAAAUUUAUGUUAGGUCAAGGUGCAGUUAUAUUAGGGUUAUUAUGGGUUACAUUAAUUUUAUUUUUCUUUGAUUUUAUUUUAGAUUAUAUCUUGAUUUUGGAUUUAAAAGUAAUUUUUUUUAUUAAAUUUUUUGAAUUUAGCUCUAGCUUAUGUACAUAUCGCCCGUCAUUCUCAUAAAUUGAGACAAGUCGUAACAAAGUAGAUGUAUCUGAAGAUGUAUCUAGAAUCAG